RNAcentral lists this non-coding RNA (30 nucleotides) under Mus musculus (house mouse). Lineage: Eukaryota; Metazoa; Chordata; Mammalia; Rodentia; Muridae. The record is from RNAcentral.
CUCUUGUGCCACAGUUUUGGUCAUGCCUGC